GCUUAUUUCAUCAAUCACUCCAUUGAGUCUUCCUUUCUGAAUGACAUGUCACAAUGGAAACAGUGGCAUUAAUUUAGGAGCAUAUAUAAGAGGAAGUGUGAAAAGAGAACCAUAGUUGGUACAUUGCACUGAAACAUACUAUGGUUGGUUUGGAUUUAGUAUGAUUCUGAGUGUAUAUGUGUGCAAGAGACACUCCCUAGACUUUAUCAAAAGUAUGAAUCAAAAUGGAAACAGCAACCAUUGAGCUGUAACAAGAGUAACUCCAUACACUUAGAAUUAGGUUAUGAGUUAAGUAGAAAAUCACAAGGGAAAAUCAUUGUAAUAAUUUAAAACUACUGUUGUGGUUAUAUGAAAAUGAUUUUGAAUUCCAAUUAAAUACAAGCACAGGGAUUAAACAACUAUCAUUAAUUAUAGAAAUGACAUAAUCCAAACUAGUCAAUAUUGUAAUUUCUUGGAUAUCAUGUAUGCUAGUAUUGGUUUUUAUUACAUUUAAAUCCCGGUGUUACAGUUCAAUUUAACAUAUUACCUUAAUGAAAGCAUAAUUGCUAUCUAUAUAUGAUGUUGUCCAUUUAAUGCUUUUUUUUUCAACAGGAUUUAAGCAUUACCUAUUAAUAUAUUCCCAUCUCAAAAAUACUAUUUAAUUUUAUCUAUGUGAAUAUCUUUCCUCUCUAAAAAGGGAAAUAAAGUCCACUUAUUUUUUUCUCAUCAUAUUAAAUGAACAUAUGAAUGGUUUCUGCCUUGAAUUUCAUUUUAUUUAUUUUUCACAUUUCUGAGCCACCUAUGACCCUCAGAGAAAUACUCUAUGUACAAUAAAAUCAUGUGAUUAUAACAAACAACAUAAUGGUAGCAACUAUAUAACUGUGAUAUCAAUAAAAGGACAAUAUUUAACAUAUUUUAUAAGUUAAUUGGAUUAUAUUUAUUUUAUGAUGCCACACAACACUUUCUGUGUUUAGUAACUGAACAAAGAAAGCAUAUUAAUCUGAAAAAUGGAACAGCAUGCCAAAAUUGACUCAGAACAGAAACCUGUGGAUUUCACAGUGGGAAACUGGAUCAGUAAAUUAAGAACUCACAAUGCUGCCAUUCUGGUUUCCAUUCACUAAAGCCAGCAUUCCCAACAAUAUACCUUAUGUAUUACUUGUCACCAUGUCUUAUUUUUAAAAUCCUGGCUAUCUUACAAGUGUUCAAAAGCAGGAUUCUAGCACAGAUCUUCCAUAACAAUACUUAGCUGAAGGUUUUCUUUUACUUUUUGACAGUAUGGUUUUUAAAUAUACAUUACAUUUUAACAUUUCAACUUUCUUCUGCAUAGAAUCUUGGAGAGAAUCUUGGAAGCAUUUCUAUAUAGGACAGGUUUACAAAAGAAUCUAAUAUGGUUGCAGUUUUCUGUAAAUGAUUAUAAGCAUGAACGACAAGCACCUUCCAUGCCAGAUUACUGGGAACAGAAAACAUUUCCUAUGGAAAGUAUAUAGAACGGCUGCAUAUUAUUCAUUUCUGAAUACUGUAAUUCUUCUGAUUUGUGGUGUGAAUAGGAAAACAAAGGGCUUUAAUGGAGCUGUUUAUAUUAAAUGCAGGACACACACAAUUCUGGAAAUCAUAACUUUCCUUCCUAAAAUCAGUUUACUGUACUUAUAGCUAUGAGAGCUUGUUACCAACUAAGUGACACGUGGAAAAGUAAAUUCAGGUUGCAUUAUUCAUAUUAUCAAAAUAUUGAAAUCUCUUUACAUUUUGUGGAAUUUACUGUAGUACCUGACAAUAUGACACAAUCAUAUGAAAAU
This is a non-coding RNA of Pseudonaja textilis, 1772 nucleotides long. NCBI's taxonomy places the organism in Eukaryota, Metazoa, Chordata, Lepidosauria, Squamata, Elapidae. The record is from RefSeq and is a predicted model, not a curated record.